RNAcentral lists this ribosomal RNA (848 nucleotides) under uncultured bacterium. RNAcentral's name for it is "bacterial SSU rRNA". It matches the Rfam family "Bacterial small subunit ribosomal RNA", at positions 616 to 1465 of the family's 1533-position model. The record is from RNAcentral.
GGGAACUGCGUUNUGAACUGGGUGACUAGAGUGUGUCAGAGGGAGGUAGAAUUCCACGUGUAGCAGUGAAAUGCGUAGAGAUGUGGAGGAAUACCGAUGGCGAAGGCAGCCUCCUGGGAUAACACUGACGUUCAUGCCCGAAAGCGUGGGUAGCAAACAGGAUUAGAUACCCUGGUAGUCCACGCCCUAAACGAUGUCGAUUAGCUGUUGGGCAGCAUGACUGCUUAGUAGCGAAGCUAACGCGUGAAAUCGACCGCCUGGGGAGUACGGUCGCAAGAUUAAAACUCGAAGGAAUUGACGGGGACCCGCACAAGCGGUGGAUGAUGUGGAUUAAUUCGAUGCAACGCGAAGAACCUUACCUGGUCUUGACAUGUGCGGAACCCUCCAGAGACGGAGGGGUGCCUUCGGGAGCCGUAACACAGGUGCUGCAUGGCUGUCGUCAGCUCGUGUCGUGAGAUGUUGGGUUAAGUCCCGCAACGAGCGCAACCCUUGUCAUUAGUUGCCAUCAUUAAGUUGGGCACUCUAAUGAGACUGCCGGUGACAAGCCGGAGGAAGGUGGGGAUGACGUCAAGUCCUCAUGGCCCUUAUGACCAGGGCUUCACACGUCAUACAAUGGUCGGUACAGAGGGUAGCCAAGCCGCGAGGUGGAGCCAAUCUCACAAAACCGAUCGUAGUCCGGAUUGCACUCUGCAACUCGAGUGCAUGAAGUCGGAAUCGCUAGUAAUCGCAGGUCAGCAUACUGCGGUGAAUACGUUCCCGGGUCUUGUACACACCGCCCGUCACACCAUGGGAGUGGGGGAUACCAGAAGUAGGUAGGGUAACCGCAAGGAGCCCGCUUACCACGGUAU